Molecule: non-coding RNA, 156 nt
Filed under: Elusimicrobiota bacterium
Lineage: Bacteria; Pseudomonadati; Elusimicrobiota
Description: Elusimicrobia bacterium (anaerobic digester metagenome) 6S RNA
Rfam family: 6S / SsrS RNA
About the family: E. coli 6S RNA was the first non coding RNA to be sequenced, but its function was unknown until recently.
Source: RNAcentral
GAUAUCCUGCGGUGUUCGUCAGGGGUUUGGCAAAUUUGAACCAACGCUCAAAUACCUUGGGAACUGUUGUCUUGCGCAGCUAACGGUCGCUGGCUUGUUCCCACCUGUAAAACAGGUUCAAGGUCGCCCUAUCUCAACGGCAUCUGCGGGGCUUUU